CAGAGUAGAACAGCCGGGAAAGC
This 23-nucleotide non-coding RNA is filed under the name Drosophila melanogaster (fruit fly). Lineage: Eukaryota; Metazoa; Arthropoda; Insecta; Diptera; Drosophilidae. The record is from RNAcentral.